GCCUGGGUGGCUCAGUCGGUUGAGCAUCCGACUCUGGCUCGGGUCACGAUCUCGUGGUUCGUGGGUUUGAGCCCCACGUCGGGCU
Leopardus geoffroyi (Geoffroy's cat) is the source of this 85-nucleotide non-coding RNA. NCBI's taxonomy places the organism in Eukaryota, Metazoa, Chordata, Mammalia, Carnivora, Felidae. The record is from the annotation of a RefSeq genome assembly.